This 378-nucleotide ribosomal RNA is filed under the name uncultured Methylobacterium sp. RNAcentral's name for it is "bacterial SSU rRNA". It matches the Rfam family "Bacterial small subunit ribosomal RNA", at positions 524 to 902 of the family's 1533-position model. Lineage: Bacteria; Pseudomonadati; Pseudomonadota; Alphaproteobacteria; Hyphomicrobiales; Methylobacteriaceae. The record is from RNAcentral.
UACGAAGGGGGCUAGCGUUGCUCGGAAUCACUGGGCGUAAAGGGCGCGUAGGCGGCCGAUUAAGUCGGGGGUGAAAGCCUGUGGCUCAACCACAGAAUUGCCUUCGAUACUGGUUGGCUUGAGACCGGAAGAGGACAGCGGAACUGCGAGUGUAGAGGUGAAAUUCGUAGAUAUUCGCAAGAACACCAGUGGCGAAGGCGGCUGUCUGGUCCGGUUCUGACGCUGAGGCGCGAAAGCGUGGGGAGCAAACAGGAUUAGAUACCCUGGUAGUCCACGCCGUAAACAAUGAAUGCCAGCCGUUGGCCUGCUUGCAGGUCAGUGGCGCCGCUAACGCAUUAAGCAUUCCGCCUGGGGAGUACGGUCGCAAGAUUAAAACUC